CACGCAAAUUACAAAUAAUAAGUAAUAUAAAAUAUCAAUGUACAAUCUAAAGUCAAAAUAUAUGUAUCUUUGUGUAAAAAAAUCUGAUAACUGAAUAAAAAAACUUCAUAAUGAACGAAAACAUAAGAAGUUAAUUUUUAACACGUGUGUACCGGGAAAUUAAUUCACUGGGGCUAAGUAUAAUACUAAUACCGACCAGAGAUAGAUUACAUAUGUGUUUUGGUACAAUGUAAAACGGAACAAAACGUCAAGCAAGACAUUUUCGACAUUUUUCCAUGAUAAGUUUUGACUAGAAGGAUAUCAUUAAAAAAAAAUGGAUAACGUCCGAUUUCCCAACAGUAGUUGCAAAACCGGUUAUUUACAUCACAAAAGAAAUAAAGAAAAUAGAGAAAAUAAUAAUACUUCCCAACAAACAUGAAAUAUUCAUUAAAACAUAUCGAAAGUCAUAAUUUUCAUAUUUUCUAGUACCUAGAUGCACACCAUCAAUUAAACAUGUAUCAGAAGGAAAAGCAAAAUACUCGUUCACACUAAAAAAAUACAAAAAGUAUCUACAAAAAGCACAUGUCUAUUGUUAUGUACAAGUCACAAUAAAAUAUUUCGAUAUACGGCAACCUGCAUAAUAAACAAAAUAAUGAAGUAGUUUCGCCUUGACAGUGGUAAAAUACUAUGACGUUACGCGCGAUGUUCGUACCUCUUUGAAAGAUCGGUGUAGAUGGCAAGAUGAAAGUCCAAAAUAUAUAGUUUUGUGAUAUCAUAGUUAUUGCUUUUGUACGUAUGAAAAAAAAUGUUUUUUAAAAUAAAAACGAAGAAAAUAAUUGUUGAAACUAUGUUUUAUGCUGCAUGCGACAAGCUUCAUUUCGGCUAUUUUUAGGCUGUCCCUAGUGACAUAUUUCAUUUAUUAUAACCACUAAACUAUGAGUUUCGUCCAUUUAUAUAAACUAUUUAAUAUUUGAAAAACGUUUUUUUCCAUUAUUUAACAGAUAGGUUCCUUCAGUCUUUUAUGCAUUUUUUUUAUGACGUUAUGAUGACGUCAUAGAAAAAAGGCGAUCCAUACUAAAGCGGCAAAUCUGUCCCACGGAAAAAAAAUUGGAUUCCAGAUUUGAGAAUCAAUAAAACAUUUAUCUAAAAUGACAAAAGUUAGUAUUUGUAUUUACUACAUCAAUGUUAAUUUGCUUAGUUUUAUGAAUUUAAAGAUAAAUAUCAUGAAAAAUAAAAUAUGGUUAUUUAUGAGCGAUUUUUUAAAGGCUUACAAGGUUGUCGCACUGCCAUUUUUUGACGUAAAAACGUACUCAACUCAAAUUUACAUCAAUUGUUUGCCUAUCAGUGCUCUUAAAAUGGUAGAGUUUAUGACUUUUUAAAAUGUUAUUUUUCUUAAUUUUUCAAAAAUCUAAAAAAAAUCAAUUUUCAAAAAGUAGUUAAAAAGCACCGUCGAUUUUGCGGAGUCUUACAAGAAUGUUGCACUUGCUUAAAAACAACGUUUUAGUCAAAGUUUUAGUUUGAACGUUACGAAAUAUUCGCGACGUUGUGUUACGCUUACAUGUACGAACAUGUCUAUUAACACAUAUAAAAUAUAAAUCUACUCAAAUAAAGUCAUAACAACCAACUACAAUGCAUCAAUCUAGAAAUAUCUAGAAACUAUUGGAAUGAUAUUGGACAUAUACUGAUAAAGUCUAGGAUCUUCGAUCGUCGAUAGGUGCGAAGUAGAGACUGGACCAAUCAGCAUAUAAGAAUAAGAAAUCGAAGUACUGCAGUACAGUACUGAUCAUCGGAUGACCGCAAUUUCUUGUGGAAUGUCACAAGCACUUGUCUCAUAAAAAAAACCACACCCUUAUACCUGAAAGUAAGGUAUUCGAGACUACUUUAACACGUAUAGUAGUCUCAUGGUCAAUGUACGUACCGAUGUAUUUUUUUUCUGAGACAAGCUCUUGUGUGGAAGAUAAAUAAAUGAAAGGGAAUUCAACAUCACCAUAAUAACUAUUAUAUAUAUAUAUUGUAGUGAUACAAAUCAAUAUACUCUGGUUUAUAUUUUAUUUAUAUUUGUACAAAUAAAAAAGAAGAUGUGGUAUGAUUGCCAAUGAGACAACUGUCCACAAGAGACCAAAAUGACCCAGACAUUAUCAACUAUAGGUCACCGUACGGCCUUCAACAAUGAGCAAAGCCCAUACUGCAUAGUCAGCUAUAAAAGGCCCCGAUAUGACAAUGUAACACAAUUCAAACGAAAAAAACUAACGGCCUUAUUUAUAUAAAAAAAAAUGAACGAAAAACAAAUAUAUGUGUAACACAUAAACAAACGACAAGCACUGAAUUACAGGCUCCUGUACAUGUUUAUAUAAUUUUCAUCCAUUUGUAUAUCAUUUUAUUCUACCAGUCAAUUAUAGUGCAGAGCAAGUGCAUGGUGGAAUCUCUUCUAUAAUAGCUUUUCUUAUAGAUUAGAUUUGAAUAGGCAUUCAUAUUUUCCCGCAAAACGAGAGAGCUAUGACCAAUAACUCUGCAUGUUUCUGUAUAUAAUCUUCACCUCCUUUAUAGGAGAUUGCAAUCGUUCUUGAGAUAUUCUUACGCCUGUGUUAACACAAUUUUUCUGUACGUAUGCAUAGAUAUUAAUAACUUUUACUUGCAUAGAUAUAAAACAUUUUCAUAUUAUUAAAUUAUGUUAAAAAAAUAUUUGAUGAGUAUUCAUUGAAGAAAUGAAAUUAAAGCAAGUGAUAAGGAAUGUUAUUUUGCACUCGAUGUUAUCGGCGUAUUUAUCAUCUUCAUAGAUCGGUUAAAAACCCAAAACUUAUUUACAUAAUGGAAAUAUAGAAGUAGCAAUACACCGGAAUGCCCUCAACAGUUACCCGCUGUAAAAAGUAGAAAAAAACCCUGCAAUUUCGAAUUUCUUUAGAAAUUCACCUUAAUAUAGGAUAUUACCCAACAUCAUAUUUGUGGUAUAAAUAGCAUAAAAAAUAUCCUAACACGAUAUAAUAGUAAGAUGUAAUAUGGCAAUUGCUACCAAAUAUUUAAAAACAGAACACGUUACCCAUUUAUAACACUGAUUUGAAUGAAUGAUUAAAUAAAUGAAUCUUUAUUGCAUUAGCA
This 3075-nucleotide long non-coding RNA is filed under the name Mytilus galloprovincialis (Mediterranean mussel). The record is from RNAcentral. Lineage: Eukaryota; Metazoa; Mollusca; Bivalvia; Mytilida; Mytilidae.